AUCACAGGACAUCCUGUCUCAGUUAGCCCACCUCCACACCCACAUCCUCCAAUCAGGCCUGCCCCAGGCCACCUACUCCUCACUGCGAGUCCAGUCCCUGUCUCUGAAUGCUGAGUCACACACCCGAUGGGCCGAGCUGGCUGUCUGAACAGGCUGCCUCUGCAGACGCAUCCGAGUGGCCCACACAAAGGAGAGUCUUGGAAUCACCUCUACACAGGGCAGUAGCUGGAUUGGGAUCUGGUUGUGCCUAAAAUCUGGUGACAUUGCCAUGCGUGCCUCUCUGCCUCCCUGCCACUGUACAGGAGGGGAUGCUGAGGCACAGGGACGUGAAGUGACCUGCCUAAGUGACACGGCCGGCAAGUGGCAGAGCCAGGCCCCGAACCUAGGCAUGCAGAGUCUGGGGCACACGCCCAGCCAUGCUUCUGGCUCUGCCUGUACCUGGCUGACAGAAUGGAGCCCAUCAAAGAGCAGCCAGACUCCGAGUGCUGUUUCCGCUGUCUGGGGAGCAGAAUGGAAAGGAGCUAAACUUUUGCUCUCACCUUAUCUGCCCAGAAAGGGAAAAUAAAUGCCGACAAGACGGGGCGGAGAGGUCAACGGGAGGCUGCUGUUUUUCCAGCUGCGAAGAGGCCACUUCCUCCAGCCUCCCUGAGCCAACCCUGGGCUGGCCGCAAAGAGCCAAGACAAUGUGUGAUCAUUGUGGGAAAAUCAGGGAACACAGGGAGCAAAAGAAAAUAAAGAUCAGUCGUAACCCUUGUCA
Long non-coding RNA from Chinchilla lanigera (long-tailed chinchilla), 757 nucleotides. RefSeq lists it as uncharacterized. Lineage: Eukaryota; Metazoa; Chordata; Mammalia; Rodentia; Chinchillidae. The record is from RefSeq and is a predicted model, not a curated record. The transcript has 3 exons.